RNAcentral lists this ribosomal RNA (253 nucleotides) under uncultured bacterium. RNAcentral describes it as "partial 16S ribosomal RNA". It matches the Rfam family "Bacterial small subunit ribosomal RNA", at positions 524 to 776 of the family's 1533-position model. The record is from RNAcentral.
GACGGAGGGUGCUAGCGUUGUUCGGAAUGACUGGGCGUAAAGGGCUCGUAGGUGGCCAACUAAGUCAGACGUGAAAUCCCUCAGCUUAACUGGGGAACUGCGUCUGAUACUGGAUGGCUUGAGUUUGGGAGAGGGAUGCGGAAUUCCAGGUGUAGCGGUGAAAUGCGUAGAUAUCUGGAGGAACACCGGUGGCGAAGGCGGCAUCCUGGACCAACACUGACACUGAGGAGCGAAAGCCAGGGGAGCAAACGGG